Molecule: RNase P RNA, 296 nt
Filed under: uncultured Anaerobutyricum sp.
Lineage: Bacteria; Bacillati; Bacillota; Clostridia; Lachnospirales; Lachnospiraceae
Description: Bacterial RNase P class A
Rfam family: Bacterial RNase P class A
About the family: Ribonuclease P (RNase P) is a ubiquitous endoribonuclease, found in archaea, bacteria and eukarya as well as chloroplasts and mitochondria. Its best characterised activity is the generation of mature 5'-ends of tRNAs by cleaving the 5'-leader elements of precursor-tRNAs.
Source: RNAcentral
CCGGGCUUCACAGGGCAGGAUGCCGGAUAACGUCCGGUGGAGGUGACUCCAAGGAUAGUGCAACAGAGAUAUACCGCCGCCCUCCUUCGCGGGGGCGGUAAGGGUGGAAAGGCGGGGUAAGAGCCCACCGAUUCUCUGGUAACAGAGAAUGCCAUGUAAACCCCAUCCGAAGCAAGACCGAAUCGAAAGCGAUAAUCCGGCCCGGAUUGCUUUCAGGUGGGUCGCUAAAGUCUGCCGGCGACGGCAGGAUCAGACAGAUGACCAUUCACGACAUAACCCGGCUUAUCGUCCGGCUC